AUUUGCUGCGGGCUCCUUGUUUCAAAAUACUGCAAUUCAAAAUACUCCAAAAUAUCUCAAAAUUUUAGAACUCAUUUCCUCGCGCUCAACUCCAACUCUCCAAACAUCUCCCAAUCUUUUGCCGUCGCCGUCGAACUCCAACCCUUGUUCGGCCCUGCGUCGCCGUCGAAAUCCGCCCUUGCUCGGCCCUACGUCGCUGUCCUCUCCGGUGGAUGUCUGUUCUCGCCUCAUCUCCCCCGUCGCUGUCCUCUCCGAUGGGUGGCUUUUCAAUUGCUGAAAAUUCGGUCAGCUUGGUCGGCUGGGGGUUCAGCGUCCCCCCGUCGCGUCCUGGUUCCGGUGCUUGCUCGGCCGUUACUCUCCUCGCCACAACCAGUUUACAAAGCCAGCAGUGGCCUCAAGAUUGCUGUUGAACUUUGUGGUGAGCUAAAACUGAUUAAUUGUGCAUAAUAAUUUCUAGUAGCAGUAAUUGAACUAUUUUGGUCGCUGAUCUCAAAAGAGGUUAAGGCUAAUCACCCAAAGAUUAUCAGCUUGCUGGGGUUGUUGCGGUUGAAGUCACAGGAGGGCCAACCAUCGACUUUGUUCCAGGAAGAAUGGAUUGCGCAGAUUCUCCUGAUGAAGGACGCCUUCCUGAUGCAAAUCAAGGUACGUACGUAUUCUACCCUCUCAUCAGUAAUAUGACAGUUUAGUAGUACAUGUUAUUAACAGCGUAAAAUGGGUUGCAGGUGCCGGACAUUUGAGAGAAAUCUUUUACAUAAUGGGGCUUUCUGACAAGGAUAUUGUCGCGCUUUCAGGAGGCCACACUCUGGUAUAUUUAUCACCAUUUGAUGGGACAUGAAGUCGAGAUGCAGGUGGUUUGAAAUACUUUGCCUCGUCGAUUUGGCGCUCCAGGUCUUCCAGAGUUGAAUGCAUCUCAGCUACAAUAAUCGGGCAAUUAUGGAGGCUGCUCAAGUACUGCUUUAUUUCGGAGUUGAACAAAUCAUCUAUGUUUCUGAAAUGACGCACUGCUAAAUAAAGGUCUAUUCUCCGAAGACUGCGCCUUAUGCUAGUGAGGAAAAUGAUGUGGUUCGUGAGCAAUGGGCUAAGUUUUAUACCAGCAUGUAUUUAUUAUUGAUCUGAGGGCGCUUGAACGAGUUGGUUUAGAUGUUAUAGAACAAUUUUUUAUGUUGAAAUGUAUGAUUACGUUGAAAUUGGAACGUACAUAUAUUUAUUUAAAUGUAUAUAUAUGGUACGUGCACUUUGGUUUUGGGAUAUAUAUACAAAACACCAGUUAUUGUUUUUAUA
Molecule: long non-coding RNA, 1281 nt
Organism: Spinacia oleracea (spinach)
Lineage: Eukaryota; Viridiplantae; Streptophyta; Magnoliopsida; Caryophyllales; Amaranthaceae
Exons: 7
Source: RefSeq, a predicted model, not a curated record